Molecule: long non-coding RNA, 2556 nt
Organism: Tupaia belangeri chinensis (Chinese tree shrew)
Lineage: Eukaryota; Metazoa; Chordata; Mammalia; Scandentia; Tupaiidae
Exons: 2
Source: RefSeq, a predicted model, not a curated record
AUGUGUUAUGUAACAUUGUGAACUAUUUAGCUUUAUUGAACUAUUUAAGAGAAAGUGCCUCAUUGCUGAAGUGCGUUUCUGUUUUAGAGUCACUGCAUAGAUUUUGCAUUCUCUGUACCUGUCUCUUUUGAAUGGUUUUGUAGCUAAAUAGGCACUUGUCAGUUAGGAUCAUCUCUUUUUGAAAGAUUUUCAUAAGAAUAUAGAUAUCACCAAAGACAUUUUGCUGUUAGUUAAUAACCAUGUUGAAAAGAGAGUUGUAACAGUUUGGAGGUUGGUAAUUUUUAGAUUGCAAUUUAAUUUUGUAUAGUUAGGCAAUAAUCUUGAUUAACUGUUGAAGUGUCACCAAAGAAAGGCUUUAAACUGAAUUUUCUUGGUGAAAUCAGUCAAAUGCAGGUUUUUCUUGCAAUAAUCAGAGCAUACUUCCUUUCAAAUAGGUUCACUGGUUUUUAGCAUCAUCCAGCAGCUCUUAGGAAAUCUUAGAGGUGAGGAAGAGACACCACAAAUAGCCUCACUCUGAAUGAAAAGUGAGAAAAACAUAUAUUUUGAAAAGAACCGAAAUUGAAAUUCUGAAUUUUAAUUGGAUGAGCUUUUCAUUCUGAAGAGGCAGUCUAAACUCAAAUUAUGCUUAUUUAGUUCCCGGGUCCUUAGUAAUAUGAGAACUUUUAUUAAAAAGACAGGUUUUGGUGGAAGUGCUGGCUGACAUGCUUACUUAGGUGGGCUAUAGUACAACCGUUGGGCACAUCUAAGUAAGUGCUUUUUCUGUAUUCAAAAGCAAAAUUUCCAUAAGGCCUGGUUUGGGUUUUGUUUUUCUGUCUUGCCUCCCAGCAGUUACCUUUUAUCAUAGUUAGAGUUGAACACACAGCCAGAUUUGGCAAAAUGAGUCACAGAACAAGAGCAUGUCCGUCGGGAGAGCUGUCCCAUUACACCCUUUCUCCUUGGAAGUGGGUUCAUGUGAAAGUCUCCCCGCAGGGAAAACUCACGCUGUGAAGUCUUUCUGCUGGGUCCUCAGGUGAGCACCAUGGACAGGAUCAAAGGGAUGCACACGCUGGUACAUCCUCUGGCUUAGGAACAGCAAGCAGAGCUGUAGACCACUAAGAUGUUGGGAGAUUGCAGGAAUUACAGAAAUGAAUGAGUUUUCCAUGACUUUAAUUUUCUGGAUUAGAAACACUUAAACUUGAAAUGCUGUCGUCAUUAUUUUCAGCUAUGUAUGCCUAUAGGAACACGUCUGCUAGACUUGUUUUGUGAACAACUGAAGAGUAUUAAAUACAGUAGGGACUCAAAGCCCUUUCAAAGCACAACAUAACCAAUUGCUUUUUCAUUUACUUGAUAUUUCUAGUUCAGUAGUAUUUUGGUAGAAAAUACUGUCAAGUUGAAAGUUGAUUAAAAUGUACUUAAGUGUCCAGUACAGGGUUUUCACCGUUUGUUGUCCUUGAAGCAGUUGUGUUUCUCCAGUCAUUUGUGUGAUUCACUUCCUAGUGUGAUCUAGUUUUCACAAACAGUGUGUUCACUUGCUGUCCUUAACUUUUCAAAUAGAAUUAAAAUGCUUGAGUACUUGCCUUUCAGAAAGUUCUAAAAUUAAACCUAAAAGGAAUUCUUUUCAGUGCUCGUUCAAUGUGUCUGUAUACUCAUUACGCCCCUCUGCCUGGGAUUGAAAACUGAGACUAAGUUUUUAGAAAGGCCUUUUCAUUAUCUUUACAUCUAGAAUCGUGUGACAUAGAUAUAUGUGGAAUACUUGGUCUAGUUUUCUUCCAUCUUGUAAAGCGUCAUGAAAUAAAUGAAUCUGGGACAAAUGAAGAAAGAUUUCAGGUGAGACGGUAACCAGAUUAACUUAUUUAUCCACACACUUCCCUUCAGUCCACUGGAGCAGGAGUUCUACACGUUAAACAUGUAAUGGGAUCAGCCUGACGUUGCUCGGGGGCCGGUUUUCUUUUGCUGUAUUUUUUAGAACGGGGGUGGGGGCCUAAGUGUCCUUAUGAAGCUGUGGUCCACACAGGAGCUAGUGAGGGGAGUACCGGAGUUCUGCUGCUUUCCGCAUUGGGCGCGGUCAUCCGUUUUUGAUAGAGUAGCCCUCACGAUAAAUAAAACCAUCAUAGAAUAUAUUGUAAAGUUACGUCGCUAAUUUUCCUUUGAAAUAUAAAAUAUUUUAAGCUUUUUGUCAAAAGUGGUAACAUCUUAAUACAAAUAAAAACCUUUUUGUGGUUGUAAGAUUUAGCUUAUAAAUCAUUCAAAUUGAAGUGAAAGAAUUACCAGGUCAUUCAUUGUUAAUGACUUAGUCUAUUAAGAACAUAUGUAUUUUUGUAAAGGAAAAGCACUUGUAGAUAUUUAAUCAGUACAAGAUAUAUGUCUGUUUUGCAGAAAUAAAAUGCUGCUUAGAGAUUCUCUUUAAAUAUUUUUUAUUUUUGUGCUCAAAUGUAUUUUCUGUUGAUCUAUGGAAUGUUCUGUACAAAGCUGUAUGAUUGUAUUGUUGAGCUAGGUAAUUUUUUUUUAAUUGGACUUAGCCAAGUAUAUUUGACCAUGUUAAAGAUAGUAUCUUUGUUAUUAAAACUUUGCAUAAUU